Long non-coding RNA from Syngnathus typhle (broad-nosed pipefish), 2032 nucleotides. RefSeq lists it as uncharacterized. The record is from RefSeq and is a predicted model, not a curated record. The transcript is spliced from 4 exons. NCBI's taxonomy places the organism in Eukaryota, Metazoa, Chordata, Actinopteri, Syngnathiformes, Syngnathidae.
AGACUCAAGUUCAGUUAAGGGAAGGCCAAGGCUUUUGAAAAUUUCUACAAGCCUUCCCUUAACUUGAUGUAACUUUUUAAAAUUUUAAACUUUUUAGACUUUUUAAUUAGCUUUCAAAAAGUCUUCCCUUAACUCAAGUUGAUUUAACUUUUUAACUUGUAACAUUUUUAACUUUUUAAACUUUUAACUUAAAAUGCUCACUUUCUAAAUUUUUAACUCUUGUAACAUUUUUAACUUUUUAAACUUUUAACUUAAAAUGUUUCACUUUCGAAAUUUUUAACUUUGGAAACUUUUACAUUUUUUAAACUAUCUUAGACGAGUUAAGGGGAGACUUUUUAACGUUUUACAUGUUUUUAUUUCGGAUUUUACAAGCACAUUUUAAAGAUGAGUUCUAGAAAGGCCUUUUAAACAUUUUUUUUUAAUUGUUUUUCACAUUAAUUACUUCAUUUUUUUAUGUAUUAUAUUUUUUCUACGUCAUAAUUGUGAGGCGAGAACAGAAAACAGACGAGGUAAGUUUCUCAUCAUUAGACAUGUUUUAUCUUUCUUUCAAAAGACACUAAAUGCUGCUAUUUCACUCUUCUGUAUUUUAACAGUUUAUUUUAUGUGGCGAAAGCACCUCAUCCACAGUCCACUGACCAAAUACAUCCUCUCUUCGGCCAUGUACCAGUCAAAUGCCGCCUUAAGUCCAGGAAAAGUUUUCUGAAAAGUGUCCCACCCCUCAGUGAAAGAGUCACUCGGCGGGAAGAAAGACUUGACAAUCUUCCACCAGAAACUACAAUGGAGCUUAAGACAAGCGAGGCAAUGACCCCAGGAGCAGAUACCAACUAUGCAACGUGGAAAUGCCUAAAUAGACUAAGAUCUGGUGUUGGACGUGCACAAGUCACUCUCGCCAAAGAGGAGGAUCGGAACAGCGAGUGUGACUGUGGCACUGAACCACAGACCAUGCAACACCUCCUCAUGUGCCCCUGCUGGAACAUCCCUGCACAGCAUCGAAUUUAGCAGAGUUUAACGAGAAGGGACAGAAAUGUGUUCAGCUGUGGCUCAACCACAUCUAGCCAAGCCUGUAACUAACUGCCUUGUAGCCACGAUAAGAAGAAGCUCAUCCCAGAAUCGAGGCCAGAGACAGGAGCUCGGCCACUCUGGGAAUCAACCUUGAUGAGAACCCACCUAACAGACCAAACAGAACUACUUUACAGGCUUUCUUGUUGUCACAGAGGGCAACAGUUGCAUCAUUGCAUGCAUUUCAAGAAGAACACAAACUCCCAAACACACAGGACUUCUCCUGAUUCUUCUCGAGAGUCACGCACUUCAAGAAGAAUUGUACAAGGGACGCCUGCAUCAUGGAACACAAACUCCCAAACACACAUGACUUCUCCUGCUUCAUCUUAUGUUCCUGGGUCUCGCCUGUGGUUCUACAUGCAUCCAGUCAUGCAGACAGAGAACACCUUAGCCUUUAACUGUCGGAAGCUGUCCCUCUGCGAGGCCUCAUAGUAUAGUCUGUUUUCUGUUCUCAUUCAUUCAUUCAUUCAUUCAUUCAUUCAUUUAUUUAUUUAUUUAUUUAUUUAUUUAUUUAUUUAUUUAUUGGCCUUUCUAUAUUUCUUUGCCUUCAAUUUUGUUUAUUAAGUUUUGUGUUUCCAAUAUGUGCAUGUUCAUUUCAUCACAUACAAGUCCAGUCCAAUGUAUACGUUCUUGUUUGUCAUUUUGUAUGUUCAGUAUUUAUUGAGUCAGUUAAACAUUUUAUCUAUUUUUUUAUUAUUUAUAAGAUUUCACGCAUUAUAUAUUCGAUUCUGUCCAAAACAACUAAUAUCAUACUGUAUUUUGGUUCCAAAAAGAACCAUGCAACUGUUUUUUUUCUUCUUGUUUAGAAGGAAAAGUGUAUGUUGACAACUUAUGUUGUGAUUUGUCGUAUAAAAGAACCUGUUCUGAAUGACAUUAUUCAUAAUUUACAUUUAUUUAAUUAUUUCUUUAAUAGAAAAUAGGUCUUUUCUGUGUUGAUAUGAAACUGUAAUUAAAUACUUAUUUUUGAUUUUAA